Lutzomyia longipalpis is the source of this 97-nucleotide non-coding RNA. The record is from Rfam. Lineage: Eukaryota; Metazoa; Arthropoda; Insecta; Diptera; Psychodidae.
CCUUCGAUAGCUCAGUUGGUAGAGCGGUGGACUGUAGAAUGGCCUCACGGCACAAGUAGAAAUCCAUAGGUCGCUGGUUCGACUCCGGCUCGAAGGA